GACGAACGCUGGCGGCGUGCUUAACACAUGCAAGUCGAACGGAAAGGCCCUGCCUUUGUGGGGUGCUCGAGUGGCGAACGGGUGAGUAACACGUGAGUAACCUGCCCUUGACUUUGGGAUAACUUCAGGAAACUGGGGCUAAUACCGGAUAGGAGCUCCUGCUGCAUGGUGGGGGUUGGAAAGUUUCGGCGGGUGGGGAUGGACUCGCGGCUUAUCAGCUUGUUGGUGGGGUAGUGGCUUACCAAGGCUUUGACGGGUAGCCGGCCUGAGAGGGUGACCGGCCACAUUGGGACUGAGAUACGGCCCAGACUCCUACGGGAGGCAGCAGUGGGGAAUAUUGCACAAUGGGCGGAAGCCUGAUGCAGCAACGCCGCGUGCGGGAUGACGGCCUUCGGGUUGUAAACCGCUUUCGCCUGUGACGAAGCGUGAGUGACGGUAAUGGGUAAAGAAGCACCGGCUAACUACGUG
RNAcentral lists this ribosomal RNA (468 nucleotides) under uncultured bacterium. RNAcentral's name for it is "partial 16S ribosomal RNA". It matches the Rfam family "Bacterial small subunit ribosomal RNA", at positions 28 to 507 of the family's 1533-position model. The record is from RNAcentral.